This 245-nucleotide non-coding RNA is filed under the name Roseburia sp. Its description in RNAcentral is "T-box sequence". It matches the Rfam family "T-box leader". From Rfam's summary of the family: Uncharged tRNA acts as the effector for transcription antitermination of genes in the T-box leader family. T-boxes are found upstream of many aminoacyl-tRNA synthetase genes and some amino acid biosynthetic genes usually in Gram-positive bacteria. The record is from RNAcentral. Lineage: Bacteria; Bacillati; Bacillota; Clostridia; Lachnospirales; Lachnospiraceae.
UUGAAACCGAUGAGCAAGAGUAAGUAAAAAUGAGAUUUUGUUUUCAGAGAGUUGUAGGUUGGUGUGAUACAGCAGCAAUAUCAUUUUGAAUGGACUUGUGAGGGCAGCUUGAAAGAGUAUCGAGUAGACGCUGACGGAAACCUGUACCGUUACGAACAGGAGUGCAUGGUGGUGCAUGAUGAGUGGGUUAUACCGAUUAGCCAAUAAGGGUGGUACCGCAGAAGUUGAUAGCUUUUGUCCCUGUU